AACGUAGGAGGCGAGCGUUAUCCGGAUUUACUGGGCGUAAAGCGCACGCAGGUGGUGGCGUGAGUCGGACGUGAAAGCUCCCGGCUUAACUGGGCGAGGUCGUUCGAUACUGCGUCACUUGAGGUUGGGAGAGGGGUGCGGAAUUCCCGGUGUAGUGGUGGAAUGCGUAGAGAUCGGGAGGAACACCAGUGGCGAAGGCGGCACCCUGGCCCACACCUGACGCUGAGGUGCGAAAGCGUGGGUAGCAAACAGG
RNAcentral lists this ribosomal RNA (253 nucleotides) under uncultured bacterium. Its description in RNAcentral is "partial 16S ribosomal RNA". It matches the Rfam family "Bacterial small subunit ribosomal RNA", at positions 524 to 776 of the family's 1533-position model. The record is from RNAcentral.